AUUUAGAGGAAGUAAAAGUCGUAACAAGGUUUCCGUAGGUGAACCUGCGGAAGGAUCAUUACAAGUGAGGCUACCGAACGUUGGAAACAGCGGUUAGGAGCUUACACCCACCCGUGUUUACAUACUAUUGUUGCUUUGGCGGGCCGUGGCCUCCACUGCGGGCUCUGCUCGUGUGUGCCCGCCAGAGAACCAAACUCUGAAUGUUAGUGAUGUCUGAGUACUAUCUAAUAGUUAAAACUUUCAACAACGGAUCUCUUGGUUCUGGCAUCGAUGAAGAACGCAGCGAAAUGCGAUAAGUAAUGUGAAUUGCAGAAUUCAGUGAAUCAUCGAAUCUUUGAACGCACAUUGCGCCCUGUGGUAUUCCGCAGGGCAUGCCUGUUCGAGCGUCAUUUAACCACUCACGCCUAGCGUGGUAUUGGGGCACGCGGUCUCCGCGGCCCUCAAAAUUAGUGGCGGCGCCGGUGGGCUCUAAGCGUAGUACAUACUCCCGCUAUAGAGUUCCCCCCGGUGGCUCGCCAGAACCCCCAAUUUUUUACAGGUUGACCUCGGAUCAGGUAGGAUACCCGCUGAACUUAAGCAUAUCAAU
This 586-nucleotide ribosomal RNA is filed under the name vouchered mycorrhizae (Fungi). RNAcentral describes it as "eukaryotic LSU rRNA". The stretch from base 236 to 389 matches the Rfam family "5.8S ribosomal RNA". Lineage: Eukaryota; Fungi. The record is from RNAcentral.